ACCACUUCUCGGCCUUUUGGCUAAGAUCAAAGGUAGUAUCUAUUCUGAUCAGUUUAAUAACUGAUACAUCCUCUAUCCAAGAACAGUAUAUUAAAUGGAUUUUGGGAGUAGGGAGAUGGAAUAGGGGCUUAUUCCAUCCAUCCACACAUCAACCUAGUAUUCUAGGAAGUCCAGGAAUAAAUAAAAAAUU
RNAcentral lists this small nuclear RNA (190 nucleotides) under Dasypus novemcinctus (nine-banded armadillo). RNAcentral's name for it is "U2 spliceosomal RNA (ENSDNOG00000042059.1)". It matches the Rfam family "U2 spliceosomal RNA". From Rfam's summary of the family: U2 is a small nuclear RNA (snRNA) component of the spliceosome (involved in pre-mRNA splicing). Complementary binding between U2 snRNA (in an area lying towards the 5' end but 3' to hairpin I) and the branchpoint sequence (BPS) of the intron results the bulging out of an unpaired adenosine, on the BPS, which initiates a nucleophilic attack at the intronic 5' splice site, thus starting the first of two transesterification reactions that mediate splicing. The record is from RNAcentral. Lineage: Eukaryota; Metazoa; Chordata; Mammalia; Cingulata; Dasypodidae.